This 220-nucleotide ribosomal RNA is filed under the name Escherichia coli. Its description in RNAcentral is "partial 23S ribosomal RNA". It matches the Rfam family "Bacterial large subunit ribosomal RNA", at positions 2728 to 2925 of the family's 2925-position model. Lineage: Bacteria; Pseudomonadati; Pseudomonadota; Gammaproteobacteria; Enterobacterales; Enterobacteriaceae. The record is from RNAcentral.
GCCAAUGGCACUGCCCGGUAGCUAAAUGCGGAAGAGAUAAGUGCUGAAAGCAUCUAAGCACGAAACUUGCCCCGAGAUGAGUUCUCCCUGACCCUUUAAGGGUCCUGAAGGAACGUUGAAGACGACGACGUUGAUAGGCCGGGUGUGUAAGCGCAGCGAUGCGUUGAGCUAACCGGUACUAAUGAACCGUGAGGCUUAACCUUACAACGCCGAAGCUGUU